UACAGAGGCCCCAAGCGUUACUGAGAAUCACUGGGUUUAAAGGGUGCGUAGGUGGUCCGUUAAGUUCGUUGUGAAAUCCCUGGGCUCAACCCAGGAAAUGCUUCGAAUACUGGCGGACUUGAGGCUAGUAGAGGUCACUGGAACUGACGGUGGAGCGGUGAAAUGCGUAGAUACCGUCAGGAACGCCGAUGGUGAAGACAGGUGACUGGGCUAGUUCUGACACUGAGGCACGAAAGCGUGGGGAGCGAACGGG
RNAcentral lists this ribosomal RNA (253 nucleotides) under uncultured bacterium. RNAcentral's name for it is "partial 16S ribosomal RNA". It matches the Rfam family "Bacterial small subunit ribosomal RNA", at positions 524 to 776 of the family's 1533-position model. The record is from RNAcentral.